AACCAUUCUCACCUGCGGCUAGACCUGCGGAGGGAUCAUUACAGAGUGUAAAAACUCCCAAAACCCAUGUGAACAUACCUUUUUGUUGCUUCGGCGGGAUCGCCCCGGGCGCCUUGUGUGCCCCGGAGUCAGGCGCCCGCCGGGGGACCCAAACUCUUGUUUUUAACGAGUAUCUUCUGAGUAACGUUUUUAAAUAAAUAAAAACUUUUAGCAAUGGAUCU
Molecule: unclassified non-coding RNA, 221 nt
Filed under: soil metagenome
Description: partial contains 5.8S ribosomal RNA, internal transcribed spacer 2, and large subunit ribosomal RNA
Source: RNAcentral